RNAcentral lists this ribosomal RNA (403 nucleotides) under uncultured Acetobacterium sp. RNAcentral describes it as "bacterial SSU rRNA". It matches the Rfam family "Bacterial small subunit ribosomal RNA", at positions 356 to 774 of the family's 1533-position model. Lineage: Bacteria; Bacillati; Bacillota; Clostridia; Eubacteriales; Eubacteriaceae. The record is from RNAcentral.
GUGGAAUAUUGCGCAAUGGGGGAAACCCUGACGCAGCCAUACCGCGUGUGUUAAGAAGGUUUUCGGAUCGUAAAGCCCUGUUAUCAGGGAUGACAUAAAGACUGUACUCAACAAGAAAGUCACGGCUAACUAUGUGCCAGCAGCCGCGGUAAUACGUAGGGGACAAGCGUUGUCCGGAUUUACUGGGCGUAAAGGGCACGCAGGCGGUUUUUUAAGUCAGAUGUGAAAGGUACCGGCUCAACCGGUGACAUGCAUUUGAAACUGAAAGACUUGAGUAUUGGAGAGGCAAGUGGAAUUCCUAGUGUAGCGGUGAAAUGCGUAGAUAUUAGGAGGAACACCGGUGGCGAAGGCGGCUUGCUGGACAAAUACUGACGCUGAGGUGCGAAAGCGUGGGGAGCAAACA